Molecule: long non-coding RNA, 1977 nt
Organism: Hevea brasiliensis (rubber tree)
Lineage: Eukaryota; Viridiplantae; Streptophyta; Magnoliopsida; Malpighiales; Euphorbiaceae
Exons: 4
Source: RefSeq, a predicted model, not a curated record
CAUUCACCUUAACAUUUUCAUCUCUGUAACUCUUAUCUUAGAUACAUACGACUCCUUCAGUGCCCAACACUCACUAACAUAUAACAUGGCCGGUCGUACGACUGUACGAUAAAAUUUUCCUUUCAACUUAUUGGGAAUCUUGCGAUCACAUAAAACUCCCAUGGCACGUCUCCACUUCAACCAUCUGGCUUUAAUCCUAUGACUAAUAUCCUCCUCACAUCCCCCAUCUACUUGAAGGACUGAGUCGAGAUAUUUAAAAUGAUUACUUUGGGACUGUACCACUCCAUCCAAACUAACUCAUUCCCUAUCACCAGUUCGACUUUCACUGAACUUGCAAUGCAUAUAUUCUGUCUUCGUUUUACUUAAUUUAAAACCCUUUGACUAUAGAGUACUUCUCCAAAACUCUAGUUUUCUAUUGACUCCUUCUCGCAUCUCAUCUAUCAGAACCAUAUCAUCCACAAAUAUCAUGUACCAGGGAUACUCUCUUGUAUGUAUUUUGUAUGUUUGGGAAGAAACAUGUUUAAAAUUUUAUAUCAGAGUGACAGUGUAGAGGACAAAUCAAGUUGCCUCUAGACAAGCAUUUAGCAAUCAAUAUCAUAACCUGGGUUGACAUGGAUUUUCUAUAUUGUCAUUAUUAUAGUAUCAUUUGUGACCUGGAAGAUCAUAAGUUCAAAUCCUGGAAAUGGCCUCUAAGAUUGCACACAUCUAACUUUUCCAUAGAUUGUUGUGUUGGAACUAGGAAGCCUUGUGUGCUAGAGGAGUUAAUUUUUCCUGGCCAAAAAUGGAAGUUUGAAUUAAUAAAUGCAUGACAACACCUCAGUUUUAACCCUGGAGUUCAGUGUUAGGGUCUAGACUAUAGACUAUUCUUACCUUGUUUCGUACUUUAUUUGCCCUUCUUGGGAUUGGACUAGUGAGUACAAAAACUGGAAAGCUGAUAAUUGAACAAUAAUUUGCCCAUUGGUUCCUAUCUUGGUUUUCGUAGCUUAAUUGACUGUCUUCCAAUUGGUGUUUUAUCCCACUUUUUUCUAAUAUCUGCCAGCAUACGAGUUUGAUUACAUUUUCGACUGGACCAUUCUAGAGUAUCAGCAGACACUUGCAAAGAAACAACCUCAAUCAUCGCCAGUUUCUGGAGUUACAAGCAGUGGAGCUGUGGCUGUGGAUUUGGAGAAACAUAUAGCUAAGCUACAGGAUUGCCAUUACUGUCAGUGGUGUCAAUUGCAAAUCUUGUUCAGCUGAAGUUACAGAGCACGAAGGAUCAAAUAAUCUUGUUCUUCCUGGUGUUCAUACACAGUUAAGAUCACCCCAGAAUUUAGGCACUGAUAAUCCAAAUGACAAACAUACAGUAACCAAUGCGCCAAUGCCAUCAACGUCAUUUUCUCUACCCAGUUCCCUUGGAAGAAAUAUUAAGAAACUAGGGGGUUCAAAUGAAGCUUUGAAUAUUGGUCGUGGGUUUGGGAACAAAACUGGUGCCAGCAGCUUGAUGAGAAUAUCUUCAGCUAAGUAAUUUGUGUGCUAACUCUACAUCCAUUUUUUUUCUUUCUUUUUGGUAAUAUUUUAUGGUUAAAUUCUUAAUAUGGAAUCCAUGGAUGCAUUUAUGACUGUAAAUGCUGUAAACUGUGUUUUAUUGAUCAACUACUAAGAUUUUCUUUUUUUUUUGGGGGGGUUACUUUUGGCUACAUAUUUCAGGGACAGAAUCCAGAUAUGAAGUUAAUAUCAGAGUUUGAAUGCCUUGAACCCAAGAAAUUUGGUUUGGUCAAUAUAUCAUUCACAAGGUGACUACAAAGUACAGACAUUGGAUGGUGCUGGGUCCUAGUCCAUCGAAGUGUUUUUUUUUUUUCCUGCUUGCAUGGAUUGAAAGUGAUUAAGCCUGUAUAUGUUUAAUUGUUUUGUUGGAUGAUAUGUAAAGCGUUUCUCCCAUUAUUCUAUUAAUUGAUCAUGAGGUUCCUUGAAGCUUGAAGAAUGUACAAGUAUUUUGAA